This is a long non-coding RNA of Clarias gariepinus (North African catfish), 338 nucleotides long. RefSeq lists it as uncharacterized. The record is from RefSeq and is a predicted model, not a curated record. Lineage: Eukaryota; Metazoa; Chordata; Actinopteri; Siluriformes; Clariidae. The transcript is spliced from 3 exons.
GCGGCGACGUAGUCAAAAUCCAGAUCCUUCAGCUCCAUCACAUCACUGCGCCCGGCCAGGACAGAGCUCGUCCACACCGCCGCCGAACACAAAACACACAAUAACCCGAGACCUGACACACAACCGGCCAUGACAGCUAGUGUCCACGAGAGAGGCGGGACCAAAAAGCAAUACGUCACAACGCGCGCACGCUGAUUGGUCAAGAUGGCUUGAGACGGGGUACCAAUCCAAUGAUACAUUACUGAUGAUUAUCCUAAUCGGCAUGUCUCUGGACUGUGGGAGGAAACCGGAGUACCUGGAGGAAACCCACCAACACGGGGAGAACAUGCAAACUCCAU